This 253-nucleotide ribosomal RNA is filed under the name uncultured bacterium. RNAcentral describes it as "partial 16S ribosomal RNA". It matches the Rfam family "Bacterial small subunit ribosomal RNA", at positions 524 to 776 of the family's 1533-position model. The record is from RNAcentral.
UACGUAGGUGGCAAGCGUUAUCCGGAUUCACUGGGUUUAAAGGGUGCGUAGGUGGGCAGGUAAGUCAGUGGUGAAAUCUCCGGGCUUAAUUCGGAAACUGCCAUUGAUACUAUCUGUCUUGAAUACCGUGGAGGUUAGCGGAAUAUGUCAUGUAGCGGUGAAAUGCUUAGAUAUGACAUAGAACACCAAUUGCGAAGGCAGCUGGCUACACGAAUAUUGACACUGAUGCACGAAAGCGUGGGGAUCAAACAGG